RNAcentral lists this ribosomal RNA (641 nucleotides) under uncultured bacterium. RNAcentral describes it as "bacterial SSU rRNA". The stretch from base 1 to 538 matches the Rfam family "Bacterial small subunit ribosomal RNA", at positions 338 to 873 of the family's 1533-position model. The record is from RNAcentral.
CCUACGGGAGGCAGCAGUGAGGAAUAUUGGACAAUGGGCGCAAGCCUGAUCCAGCCAUGCCGCGUGCAGGAAGACGCAUCUAUGGUGUGUAAACUGCUUUUGUACGGGAAGAAACACUCCCUCGUGAGGGAGCUUGACGGUACCGUAAGAAUAAGGAUCGGCUAACUCCGUGCCAGCAGCCGCGGUAAUACGGAGGAUCCAAGCGUUAUCCGGAAUCAUUGGGUUUAAAGGGUCCGUAGGCGGUUUAAUAAGUCAGUGGUGAAAGCCCAUCGCUCAACGAUGGAACGGCCAUUGAUACUGUUAGACUUGAAUUACUAGGAAGUAACUAGAAUAUGUAGUGUAGCGGUGAAAUGCUUAGAUAUUACAUGGAAUACCAAUUGCGAAGGCAGGUUACUACUAGUGGAUUGACGCUGAUGGACGAAAGCGUGGGGAGCGAACAGGAUUAGAUACCCUGGUAGUCCACGCCGUAAACGAUAGGAUACUAGCUGUUGGGCGCAAGUUCAGUGGACUAAGCGAAAGUGAGUAAGUACUCCCGACCGUCGGGAGGUACGGUUCGGUCGAAGAAGUUAGUAACGUUACGUUAAGUAGUUAAGUUAGUUACGGCGUUGAGACGNGACGACGGACGACGACGAGGGAGGAGG